CAUUACAAGUGACCCCGGUCUUACCACCGGGAUGUUCAUAACCCUUUGUUGUCCGACUCUGUUGCCUCCGGGGCGACCCUGCCUUCGGGCGGGGGCUCCGGGUGGACACUUCAAACUCUUGCGUAACUUUGCAGUCUGAGUAAACUUAAUUAAUAAAUUAAAACUUUUAACAACGGAUCUCUUGGUUCUGGCAUCGAUGAAGAACGCAGCGAAAUGCGAUAAGUAAUGUGAAUUGCAGAAUUCAGUGAAUCAUCGAAUCUUUGAACGCACAUUGCGCCCUCUGGUAUUCCGGAGGGCAUGCCUGUUCGAGCGUCAUUUCACCACUCAAGCCUGGCUUGGUAUUGGGCGCCGCGGUGUUCCGCGCGCCUCAAAUCGACCGGCUGGGUCUUCUGUCCCCUAAGCGUUGUGGAAACUAUUCGCUAAAGGGUGUUCGGGAGGCUACGCCGUAAAACAACCCCAUUUCUAAGGUUGACCUCGGAUCAGGUAGGGAUACCC
This 495-nucleotide ribosomal RNA is filed under the name uncultured Ascomycota. RNAcentral's name for it is "eukaryotic LSU rRNA". The stretch from base 162 to 315 matches the Rfam family "5.8S ribosomal RNA". The record is from RNAcentral. Lineage: Eukaryota; Fungi; Ascomycota.